AGGUGUAUAGCUCAGUGGUAGAGCACGUGCCUAACAAGCACAAGGUCCUGGGUUCAAUCCCCAGUACCUCCA
Molecule: transfer RNA, 72 nt
Filed under: Camelus bactrianus (Bactrian camel)
Lineage: Eukaryota; Metazoa; Chordata; Mammalia; Artiodactyla; Camelidae
Also listed under: 3 other names
Rfam family: tRNA
About the family: Transfer RNA (tRNA) molecules are approximately 80 nucleotides in length. Their secondary structure includes four short double-helical elements and three loops (D, anti-codon, and T loops).
Source: Rfam by way of RNAcentral